RNAcentral lists this ribosomal RNA (477 nucleotides) under uncultured bacterium. RNAcentral describes it as "bacterial SSU rRNA". It matches the Rfam family "Bacterial small subunit ribosomal RNA", at positions 28 to 507 of the family's 1533-position model. The record is from RNAcentral.
GACGAACGCUGGCGGCGUGCUUAACACAUGCAAGUCGAACGGGGUGUUUAUUUCGGUAAACACCAAGUGGCGAACGGGUGAGUAACGCGUAAGCGAUCUACCUUCAAGAUGGGGGACAACACUUCGAAAGGGGUGCUAAUACCGAAUGAAUGUAAGAGUAUCGCAUGAGACACUUACUAAAGGAGGCCUCUGAAAAUGCUUCCGCUUGAAGAUGAGCUUGCGUCUGAUUAGCUAGUUGGUGAGGGUAAAGGCCCACCAAGGCGACGAUCAGUAGCCGGUCUGAGAGGAUGAACGGCCACAUUGGGACUGAGACACGGCCCAGACUCCUACGGGAGCAGCAGUGGGGAAUCUUCCGGCAAUGGGCGAAAGCCUGACGGAGCAACGCCGCGUGAACGAUGAAGGUCUUAGGAUCGUAAAGUUCUGUUGUUAGGGAAGACAGUGACGGUACCUGACUAAGAAGCUCCGGCUAAAUACGUG